UACGAAAACAGAAAGUUUUGACGAUUGCCUCUUAUUGCAGAUGGAUCUGAAGAAUAUCCAACAAUGAUUUCUGAAGAACAUGAUUGAAACGUCAUUCGUGGUAACUUUUGCAGCCUGCAUAAAAGAUCCAUUUCACUGCAUAGAGAACUACACUACUCCACAGAAACUAAACAAGUCAAGAUCGUGUGUACUUUCACCAUGGCGAAACUCGAUAGUGUCUUGUUAACUAUAUUUGUUUUUUGCUCUACUGCUACUGCCCACUGCACUACAAAGUCAACCCCUACAACACCACAGCCGCC
Molecule: long non-coding RNA, 299 nt
Organism: Zophobas morio
Lineage: Eukaryota; Metazoa; Arthropoda; Insecta; Coleoptera; Tenebrionidae
Exons: 3
Source: RefSeq, a predicted model, not a curated record